This is a long non-coding RNA of Microtus oregoni (creeping vole), 1681 nucleotides long. RefSeq lists it as uncharacterized. The transcript is spliced from 3 exons. The record is from RefSeq and is a predicted model, not a curated record. NCBI's taxonomy places the organism in Eukaryota, Metazoa, Chordata, Mammalia, Rodentia, Cricetidae.
AGUGCAGGCUGUGCAGAAGAUCACGGCUGUGCCCUGUGGUGCUGUCAGCAGUGACAGAUCCCAGAUGGAGCCGCUACUGUGUGGCAGAUUGAGUUUCUCAACAGAAAACUCACCCUUCCUCCUAUACGUCUUCAAAAACCUUCCCCGGAUACUCCAUCCAUCCAGGUCGCGACGUUUGAAAUAGAAACAGUCCAACCCCAAAGUUGGUUUUGAGUGCGUGCUUGUAGGCUAGGUUUAUUUUCCCCCCUUCCUCUUUGCUCUGUACUUCCCCUCCUUUGUGUAUCUUCAAUUCAUAGCGUAGAUGCGGUGGGCCUGGGGGUUCCUGUUCACCCAGCUCACGGCACCGUUGAACCAGCACUGAGGGGUCCCCGAAGGCAAGGCAAUCCAGUGGGUAGAAGCUGUCGUCGUCAGCGAUGCGGAGUGAGUCUGUGGCACACGAGGGGAAGUCAAGCCUGCCUGACUCCUCAGGGAGGCAGUGCGGAGUGCGUGAUUAGGGAGGCUGGGUGUUAACGUGGUGGUUGGAGUCGGUCGAGGAUGGAUGAGAUCUGUGGGAGCCAAGAACCCUUAGGAAGAGGGAAAGAGUACUCUGCGUGGAUCCGAGCUGCGGUCUGAGCGGUGAGACUGGUGGACUCCGGCCUUCUCAAGAUAGGCUUUCCACGGAGACUCCAGUUGGAAACUAAAACCCAAGACCACCAAGAGGGAGAUUUAAAGGAGAGCAAGAAACCAUGGAGAAAGGAACAGCCACAGGAAAGAAAAGAGUUGCCCACCGCUUUUGAAGGACAUGCAGAUUUUUUUUUUCCCAAAGCACUUUCUGACUUUUCUCAACACACUUCCUAGAACCCAUUUUCCUUGUUCUUAUUCUGAAGGUUUUGUUUUGUUUUUGUUUGCAUAUUCCUGCAAGACUUUCGGAUUGGCAGUGGAAGGGGAAAUCAGCAGCCGGCACGAGACUUGGGUGGGAAAAUAAAGCCCUGUCGGCUCCCGCCCUAGGUCCAGUCUAAGGCACUCCCCUCCUGGCUACCGCAGGAGCAGACUGAGCCUCCGCCCGCCUAUGGCUGAGCCCCUGGGCUGCUGGCCACGGGGUAAUCUGGGCCAGAGUGAUCGUGCUACAUUUAUUAACGACUAGACAGAUUACUUAAGCCAAGUCCCCAAAGAAAGGGAUCCAAAUGAGUAAAACAGUUGCAGCUCCGCUGCCAAGGCUGCGAGUCGGAGAAUCCCGCUUGUUGACAGAGUCGCAGCUUCUUAGGCUUCUCCCGGUUUUAGGACGAGGUGAUGCCCCUUGGUGGGCUCAGCGCUCUGGGGCUUGCAGUCGUGCGAGGCUGAAAGGUAAUUAUUGGAACUAUUAGACGAUGCUACACCUGGCUGUUGAAAUUUGAAGUCACGUCUGGUGUACUUCAGAAAACAUUGCGGGCUUUCUUUUUCUUCCUCAACAAAUUUAGUGUCUAUCUUUUACUAAUAAUGACAUAGUCCUAAAAGCCGUCAGAUCCGCAACGGCGAACGGAUGAAUGCAGUCAGGGGUCGCACACUUUGGUUUCUGGGCUGACUUGUGGCCCUCCUUAUCUUUGUGUUAACAAAACCAGAAUAUUAAAGUGUGGCCUAUAGACUAACCUCACCACUGUGCGGUUCCUUCAAGUCUUCAAGGAAAAUCUCUCUUCUCCUGUUAGGGUGUGUCCUGCCAGACCGG